RNAcentral lists this small nuclear RNA (107 nucleotides) under Echinops telfairi (small Madagascar hedgehog). Lineage: Eukaryota; Metazoa; Chordata; Mammalia; Afrosoricida; Tenrecidae. The record is from RNAcentral.
GUGUUUGCUUCAGCAGCACAUAGACUAAAAUUGGAAUGAUACAGAGAAGAUCAGCAUGGCCCCCGCGCAAGGAUGACACGCAAAUUCAUGAAGCGUUCCAUAUUUUU